RNAcentral lists this transfer RNA (76 nucleotides) under Chloroflexota bacterium. Its description in RNAcentral is "Chloroflexi bacterium tRNA-Gln". It matches the Rfam family "tRNA". Rfam says of the family: Transfer RNA (tRNA) molecules are approximately 80 nucleotides in length. Their secondary structure includes four short double-helical elements and three loops (D, anti-codon, and T loops). The record is from RNAcentral. Lineage: Bacteria; Bacillati; Chloroflexota.
UGCGGAAUCGUCUAAUCUGGCAGGACGACCGGCCCUGGACCGGCCAAUGAAGGUUCGACUCCUUCUUCCGCAUCCU